Long non-coding RNA from Cygnus olor (mute swan), 358 nucleotides. RefSeq lists it as uncharacterized. The transcript is spliced from 3 exons. The record is from RefSeq and is a predicted model, not a curated record. NCBI's taxonomy places the organism in Eukaryota, Metazoa, Chordata, Aves, Anseriformes, Anatidae.
ACUUCAAGUAAAUACUGUCCUCCCCAUACAAUGCAGAGGCAUCUAGAAGCAAUUUCCCAUCUGGAAAAACCCACUUACUCCUUGAAAGAUGGUGAAGAUGAAGGGAUAUGAGGGUGAAGCUUCUUCAGUUUUGUAGUCCCUUUCAGCUGGUGCUGAUGUACCCCAGACAAACUCAGCAUCACAUGGUGGGAGGCAAAGUCCAAGACAGACGCUAAGUUUUAGACGCAGAUCCCAUGUCCCCUUCUAGAGUUCCUUUCUUGUGGUGUGCUAAGUGCAAGGGGCUUGCUCUGGUGAAAGACCUGGUCAUGUGCACAAACACACUUCAUCACAUAUGUGCAUGUCAAACACUUUAUGAAGG